UUGGUGCAAUUUGGGUCAAAAAAAUUAAAAACUGAAACUGAUAGGGUGAAAUAGUAAAUUAAUAAAGGGAAAUUUGCCAAAAGAGUAUUUCUUCUAGACGGUUGGUUUCACAUGUCUCUCUCUCUCUUCAGAACUUCUGAUUUCUUACAUAACAGAGUUAAUAAUUUAAUAAUAGUCCUUCGUGAUUCAAUAGAUUGUCUUUUCCGUCAAAGCCAAGCUCUUACCUUUUACAAUGGAGGAACAGUUCAUACUUAGGGUUCCACCCUCUGUUUCAGAGCGAAUCGAUCGGCUCCUGAGCGACGAGGCUUCUACUUCCGACGACAUCCCUUUAGAUUUGUGCUUUUCAGAGGAUGGGAGAAGCGGGACUUUUGUAAUUGGAAACGAAGAGUUCCGGGCUUCUCUCCUGGAUCUUCCUGCUGUUGUUGAGUCCUUUAAAACUUAUGAUGAUUCUGCACUAGUCAAAACUGCUGAUAUUGGUCAGAUGAUAAUGGUUAGGGAGCCGGGUGAUCCCACGCCUAAUACAGUUGAAUACAGACAUGGUUUAACUCCUCCAAUGAAGGAUGCUCGCAAGAGAAGAUUCCGUCGAGAGCCUGACCUUAAUCCGGAGCUUGUACAGCGCGUUGAGAGAGACUUGCUGAACAUCUUGAGUGGCGGAACCAUCGGACACGCAAAUGAGCAACAAGAGGAAACAGCUGCGAACGAGAAUACUAGUGAUAAUAAUGCAAACAAGAAAGUGUCUUCACCUGCUGAAAAGCCUGAAGCUGCUCCUGAGACAGGGACUAAUACUAGCAAUAAUAAUAAUAAUGCAACCGAAGCUGACCCGGAGAGAAGUGAAUCAGAAGAUUCUGAUGAUUCUAUGUGAGAGCUUUUUUAUGUAACCAGCAGCUAAAGCUAAUAUGAUACUAUAGGAUAUGGUCAAAAAGCCAGGAAAGUUGCAUAAAGCAAGAGAAGAGUGUUCCGGUCUGUGGAACAUCUGGAUUUCUCUACUUGUCGCUCAUAAGAGAUCAGUUGAUGAAUUGCAAGCACAAACCAGGAUCUUCAUGAUCCAAAAACUCCUAUCAAAUCUGCAGUGUAAGACUCAAUAUUCCAGUUGUCGAUUUGAGCCGUUAGAGGGUUACAAUGGAGAAGAUCUCACUGCAUUUGUAAUCACCCCAAAAGAGAUAGUGGCGGUGGGGACUUUAAGGUUUCUUGUGUGCAAAUUAGCCCUUGUUUUGGCUGCGUUUAAGCCCUUAAAGGAUGGGUCUUAACGCUUCAAGAGGACAAUGCUUUGUCUUCUCUUCUCUUCUCGCAAACUCUCACUUGAGUGUUCAAAUCCUGAAGAUCGAUGUACAUAACUUUGUAUACUAAAGAUAUAGAUCCAUGUGUAUCUGACAUACAUCAUAUAAGUUGGUAUAAAUUCACCAAGGCAGAGUUUGAUUCUUAAUACAAUUCUAUGUAUUGCUAUCAUUGAUUUUUAACCCAGUGUUUUUGUUGUUUACUUUUUUUUUUAAAGAAUGCAUGUUAUAAGGACAAAGGAAAGUGUAUGGCAUACCAAAUUAGUUUGUUUUCUUGAGGGUUUAGUGGGAUGUCAUUUGUCAAGGAAUUGAUUGGGCAAGCCACGACUUAUGAAAGUAUAAUUAGGAGGAGGUUUGUUUUCUCAAAUAUAAGAUGGACACUUUUAUUUAUCAUAACUACUAACAACCAUUAUGUUUAUGAAAGGGUUGACUAGCUAUUUUCCCACGAGAACUAUGAUAUAGCACCAAAUCUCUCUGAAACCAUUGCUUCUGUCUAUAUGUCCAUGAGACUAAAGUUUUAUAGCUAUUUUCCCAUGAGUUCAUAGUUCGAGACCUAUUUCCCCACAUUCAUCAAAUUAGACGGUUCAAUAUCGGUCUAUUGUUUUACCUAAGACUAAACCAAAAUUACGACCAAAAGUAAGAUCCGACCAAAGAUUUACCCGACCAAAAGUAACACCUGAGCAAAACACAAAAACCAACCUGGCCCUUACAUAUGUUCCUAAACCCAAAACACAAAAAUCCAUAUUUCUCUGACUAAAAUAAGAACUCUAAAUUCACUUUUUGGAAUCUCAUCGUGUUGAAUUGAAGGCUCGUUCACGAAGUUUUCAACAAGUUGUUCGAUUUCGAAUCCGUCUAUCUCCACAGCUUCUUCGUCGAACUCAUCUUCCACAAUUGGACCCUCCACGUUUUGUAAAGCUCCAGAGACUGACUCCAUUGAUCUCUGCUUCCAAAUCAAAUGAGAUUUUGUUUUCUAGGACUCAACAAAUUGGAAUUUUUUCAAUUAAGGGUUUCAAUGGAAUAACGGGUUUGGGUUUGAAUCAUUUUUUUUCUAAUGAGUCUGAGUUUCAAAUCGGAUUUAAAUCGAUCUUAUUUGGUUAACUAUCAAUUUUAAUCGAUUUAAUCUCAUGUAAAAUAGUAAACCGAUAUUAAACGUCUAAUUCGAUCAUUGUGGGUAAAUAGGUCUCGAACUAUGAACUCAGAGAGAAAUAGUUAUAAAACUUUAGUUUCAGAGACAUAUAAACUGAGACAAUAGUUUUAGAGAGAUUUGGUGGUAUAUCAUAGUUCUUACGGAGAAAUAGCUAGUUGACCUUUUAUGAAAUAUAGUCAACUUUACUUUUAUGCAUUCGUAUAAAAGUUUAAUUAAAGUGGGGUUGAAAAAUAAUCUCUUUAACUGUUUCCAGUUGCCAUCAUUGGUCCAUUGACAUGCAUGCUUGUGUCUUGAAACUCAUCAUUUUAUUUCUUUCUGUCUGGAUAAAUUUCAAAUCUUUUCUGACAUUAUUUUUUUGUUAGGUUAACCAUACUAACAUUUAUAUUACUGUAUUGGACUGUAUGACUUUUGUUCUAUAUAUAUGAUCAAUGAUAUCUCGUCCCUAUGUUUGUGUCUCUGUUUGCAUGCACAUAAUAAUAUCUAGUAUAUAUAAAAAUAUACUGAUCUUUAAACUAUAAAAAGUUUUGUCUAUUGAAUAAAAGUAAAAUUAAUAUCUAAUUUCAGCUACAAAAUAAAUUGUUAGCAAAUUACUAUCGUUCACCUAAAUGUUCAAUACAUAAACUUCGGUUUCUACCGUAUGUUUGGCUCUUUUCUCUCAUGUGUCUUCUUGAAAAAGGGCCACGUUCAAUACAUAAGCUUCGGUUCUCCUGUAUGCUCUACCGCAUGUUUGGCUCUUUUCUCUCAAUACAUUACGAUAAAUAUCCUUUAUACACCUCAAUUAUUAAUGUGGAUACAUAUAUGUCGUUUUGUAUUUUAUUCUACAAUCUAAUAGUAUUUGAAAAUUGUGGUAUAAGUAUUUUCUAAAAAUUCAGUGUUCCCAUCCCAUAAGACAAAAUCGCCCCCUUCUUUUAAAUCUUUAUUGAUGAAGUGGUUGAACAAUUGACGUAUAAUUUAAUGUAUUUGAAUUAGUUUUUAAUACAAAAAUCGGUUGAUGCUAUAUAGUUCCAAACAGGCAAACGUAGCAGUCGUAAGGCAUCAUCACUUUAGCGUAAUUUGUUGUCCAAACAAUUAUACUAUUUAAAUACCUGACAGAUUCUGCCAUUAUACUUUUUUUAUACAACGGUUUUGAUUGCUUGUCCAUUUUUAAAUCUUUUAACUCAAUAAUUAAUAUGCACCCCCAUCCAAGAAAAAUUAAAAUAAUUAUGUGAUAUAGCUAGAAAGAUCGAAGUACACAUUUCAGUUACUAAAUUCCAAAAAAUGUUUUAUAUUUUCAACAUUGGCAUGAAAUUGUUAUUUCUUUCCACCGACUAGCAUU
Molecule: RNA transcript, 3736 nt
Organism: Brassica rapa (field mustard)
Lineage: Eukaryota; Viridiplantae; Streptophyta; Magnoliopsida; Brassicales; Brassicaceae
Gene name: transcription initiation factor TFIID subunit 7
Source: RefSeq, a predicted model, not a curated record